RNAcentral lists this long non-coding RNA (858 nucleotides) under Spirodela polyrhiza (greater duckweed). RNAcentral's name for it is "long non-coding RNA (SPOL_LNC000770)". Lineage: Eukaryota; Viridiplantae; Streptophyta; Magnoliopsida; Alismatales; Araceae. The record is from RNAcentral.
CAUGGGGUGGUCGGAGACGUGGAGGUACAGAAGGAGGCGGCCUCCUAGGAGGAAGGUGGUGCAAUCUAAGACGAGGCAGAGCAUCGAGGGGGUCACAGCCCCGGCCGGCUGCAGGGUUUUCCUAAAGAGGACCACGGCCGCCGUGCCUGCUGCGCCGGCCGAUUUCUCACAAGUCAACGGGUGACGAGAUCUCUACUGGAGUGGGGAUGGAUUGCGAUGAAGAGGGGAGCUGGCAUUCUUAUCCCUUCUCCGGGUGUAACACGCCACGAGACGAAAAUAGGCUGCGCGAGAGAGAAGGAGAUGGAGGGAGAGACAUAAGGAGAGAGGGAGGGACGGAGAGAGCGAGAUCGAGCUUACCUCGUGUCUGCAAAUACUGGGAAAGACAGCAGAAGAGAAGCAGGGCAAAUCGGGGGAGGCCAUAGGUGAGAAGACCACUCACCGGAGGAUGCCGGGAGCUCGCCAUCGCCGGCCCGUGCGCGUCUUGGUGACUCGCUUGGCGGCAGCGGCCUCCGCCGGCGGCGGCGCAGAAGUUGCCUACAAGCGAGUCACCGAGACGCCGCAGGCCUCCAUUCCUCCCCGUCGGCGACUGCUUGUUUCCCCCUCUGACCUGGUCCAAACAAUUAUGCCUUGUCGCUACAUUAGCUUCCCGAAUACUCUAACAGAUUAGGAUAGAUUUUCACGCGGACGUGGGCAAUCCAAUCUCUCCGUUGCCGCCCAAGACGUUCCGUGCACGCUUUCUGUAUAUGACGACCCAUCACACGAACGGACAGAAACCCCCAAGAGCCCCCCUCUGGUUUUAGAGCGAAAGAGAGAGUUGCAGAUAAGAACGGCCCUACCCUCGUCCCUCGUGGAAGGGCA